Bradysia coprophila is the source of this 109-nucleotide long non-coding RNA. NCBI's taxonomy places the organism in Eukaryota, Metazoa, Arthropoda, Insecta, Diptera, Sciaridae. The record is from RefSeq and is a predicted model, not a curated record.
CACCACAGUUGGUUCAUUCUAAAAAAACACACAUUUGACAGUUUCUUAAGAGUUUUACAAUUCAUCGAUGUUCCCAGUCAAUUAAGUGUUUCCAAGUCAACGCUAUUUU